UGCGUAGGCGGUUUGGUAAGUCUGAUGUGAAAUCUCAGGGCUCAACUCUGAGACUGCAUCGGAAACUGCCGGGCUUGAGUAUGGGAGAGGUGAGUGGAAUUCCUGGUGUAGCGGUGAAAUGCGUAGAUAUCAGGAGGAACACCUGUGGCGAAAGCGGCUCACUGGACCAUAACUGACGCUGAUGCACGAAAGCUAGGGGAGCAAACAGGAUUAGAUACCCUGGUAGUCCUAGCCCUAAACGAUGACUGCUUGGUGUGGCGGGUACCCAAUCCCGCCGUGCCGUAGCUAACGCGUUAAGCAGUCCGCCUGGGGAGUACAGUCGCAAGGCUGAA
RNAcentral lists this ribosomal RNA (332 nucleotides) under uncultured bacterium. RNAcentral describes it as "bacterial SSU rRNA". It matches the Rfam family "Bacterial small subunit ribosomal RNA", at positions 568 to 898 of the family's 1533-position model. The record is from RNAcentral.